GAUGAGAACGCAGUGAAAUGCGAUACGUAAUGUGAAUUGCAGAAUUCAGUGAAUCAUCGAGUCUUUGAACGCACAUUGCGCCCCCUGGUAUUCCGGGGGGCAUGCCUGUCCGAGCGUCAUUGCUGCCCUCAAGCACGGCUUGUGUGUUGGGCCUCCGUCCUCCUCCCGGGGGACGGGCCCGAAAGGCAGCGGCGGCACCGCGUCCGGUCCUCGAGCGUAUGGGGCUUCGUCACCCGCUCUUGUAGGCCCGGCCGGCGCUUGCCGACACAUCAAUCUUUUUUCCAGGUUGACCUCGGAUCAGGUAGGGAUACCCGCUGAACUUAAGCAUAUCAAUAAGCGGAGGA
Molecule: unclassified non-coding RNA, 344 nt
Filed under: soil metagenome
Description: partial contains 5.8S ribosomal RNA, internal transcribed spacer 2, and large subunit ribosomal RNA
Rfam family: 5.8S ribosomal RNA (bases 5-119)
Source: RNAcentral